AACAUUGGUCCAGCUAACUACACACCACCCUUAGGUUAGCUUGAUCGACAGUGGCGCAAACAACGUUAAUUUUGGUACGGCUGGAUGACGUGUUAUUGGUUGGGUGCACGCGCAAACAAUGUCGCCAAUAAUAACGAUGGGACGACGUGGGAAAUGCGACGACGAUAAACACUGCAGCGCUCAGUUAAAAAGAAAAUAUCGAAGAAAGUAGAAAACAAAUUUUAAAAAUGAGAGGCUCUUUAAGAUCACUUUUGCAUGUUGAAUAUUUAAAUGGCG
Long non-coding RNA from Armigeres subalbatus, 276 nucleotides. RefSeq lists it as uncharacterized. The record is from RefSeq and is a predicted model, not a curated record. The transcript is spliced from 3 exons. Lineage: Eukaryota; Metazoa; Arthropoda; Insecta; Diptera; Culicidae.